This 288-nucleotide ribosomal RNA is filed under the name Diaporthe sp. CLF-L. Its description in RNAcentral is "partial 18S rRNA". It matches the Rfam family "Eukaryotic small subunit ribosomal RNA", at positions 1546 to 1830 of the family's 1831-position model. The record is from RNAcentral. Lineage: Eukaryota; Fungi; Ascomycota; Sordariomycetes; Diaporthales; Diaporthaceae.
GUAAUCUUGUGUAAACUCUGUCGUGCUGGGGAUAGAGCAUUGCAAUUAUUGCUCUUCAACGAGGAAUCCCUAGUAAGCGCAAGUCAUCAGCUUGCGUUGAUUACGUCCCUGCCCUUUGUACACACCGCCCGUCGCUACUACCGAUUGAAUGGUUCAGUGAGGCUUUCGGACUGGCCCAGGGAGGUCGGCAACGACCACCCAGGGCCGGAAAGUUAUCCAAACUCGAUCAUUUAGAGGAAGUAAAAGUCGUAACAAGGUCUCCGUUGGUGAACCAGCGGAGGGAUCAUU